GGGCGUGUAGCUCAGUUGGUUAGAGCGCUGCCCUGAUAAGGCAGAGGUCGGGUGUUCAAGUCCCCCCACGCCCA
RNAcentral lists this transfer RNA (74 nucleotides) under Nannocystaceae bacterium. It matches the Rfam family "tRNA". From Rfam's summary of the family: Transfer RNA (tRNA) molecules are approximately 80 nucleotides in length. Their secondary structure includes four short double-helical elements and three loops (D, anti-codon, and T loops). Lineage: Bacteria; Pseudomonadati; Myxococcota; Nannocystales; Nannocystaceae. The record is from Rfam by way of RNAcentral.